Etheostoma spectabile (orangethroat darter) is the source of this 286-nucleotide long non-coding RNA. RefSeq lists it as uncharacterized. The transcript has 4 exons. NCBI's taxonomy places the organism in Eukaryota, Metazoa, Chordata, Actinopteri, Perciformes, Percidae. The record is from RefSeq and is a predicted model, not a curated record.
CUGUCAACUGCAGCCGCUCCGUCGAGGGCUGCGUGUGUGGGGAGGGGCUUUACCGCAACACUGAGGGUGUUUGUGUCAUCCCCGCCCGCUGUCCCUGCCAUGACCAGGGCAUGCUGCCGGAGGCCGGCUCAGAGUGGGAUGAAGGCUGUAUGACAUGUCGAAACUUUGCCAGUUAAGAUGUCCGCCUCUCAACUGUGAUGAGGGCGAGGUCAAGGUUGAGGAGCCAGGCAGCUGCUGUCCAGUCUGCAGAAAGCAGUUUCCAGACGAGCCUGUGCCAGAGUGUCGC